Long non-coding RNA from Nasonia vitripennis (jewel wasp), 1277 nucleotides. RefSeq lists it as uncharacterized. The transcript has 4 exons. The record is from RefSeq and is a predicted model, not a curated record. NCBI's taxonomy places the organism in Eukaryota, Metazoa, Arthropoda, Insecta, Hymenoptera, Pteromalidae.
UGAGCUGCUGAUGCAGCCUCGCAGAGAAAAUCAUUGGCGGGUUUAAUUGCAGAGGCUCGGGCUCCUGGCUUACGGCAUUCUUUCGCGCAAUUGCUCUGAUUUGCACUGGAGCUCCGGACCUUUAGCUCCAAUGGCUUCUACAACACCAACCAGCGCAAUCAGCCUUCCCUCUUUACCCCAACCAGAAAUAGCCAGUAGAACAAUUUCUUGGCCAAGCAUAACCAGCAGCAGCGCAGCUCACCCCAGAACUGCAAUAAUAAGUAUACGAGAAUCUUUGUAUCGACCUUUUUUACAUGGCUCUCCCUCGUAUUGCUGUGACUAACCAUUCAACUUCAUACCUUUUGCAAGGACAAUAUGAGGUUGCAGAAGAGCAAGAUGCUCAUCGGACCACUGGAGCUCUCCCUUAGGUCCUCGGCAAACUCAAUGACGUGCUGUACUAGAUCACUGGCAAGGGUGAACAAGUUAGCUGUUGCUAUUUAUGGACUCAUUACAGCCAUUGUACUGUCUCUGGACUGCUUGACACAUUUAGUGAAGAGAAAGUAGAAGCAACGUGCCAUUAACGUACAGAAUGUUAUGGCAGGACACUUGAUGUUUGGAGCUGGUCUUGCUGUGGGGCUUGUUAAUCUUGUCUGUGGUAUUGCUGUUACAAUCAUUGGUUCUGGUGCAGCUCUUUUAGAUGCUGCCAAUCCAGCCCUCUUUGUGAAAAUGCUCAUUGUCGAAAUUUUUGGCUCUGUCAUUGGUCUCUUUGGACUGAUUGUCGGCAUUGACAUGGCGAGGAGAUAAAAAUCUCAUCAGGUGUGUCUAAGACGAGAUGGGUAGAGAAGAAUGUGAUACAGAAGAGGAAAUAUAUGAAGAUGAAAUUGUAGUUGCAAGUGAGGAUGUGAUAAAGUCCAUAGAUGAUGAUGAUAAUGAUGAAAGUAAUAACCGGCCAAAUUCAAACAAAAUAACUAGUACUAUCCCUCCCAAUUUAGGCCAAGUUAUUUUUAUGAAUGAUAGUAUAGAGCGAGAACUUAAUGAUACUUAUGGUGAUUCAUUGGAACUCUAGCAAGAUGAAAAUGACAGCUAUGUAGUAAUAGGGUCUGCACCGCCAGAAAAAAGUCAAUACUGAUGAUUACAAGGUUUUAUGGAAAUAAAAUAUUGUGAAACGCUUCGAAAUCAAAAGGGUUUCACCUUACAUCGAGCAUUUCUACGCAGGAACUGUGAAUGAAACUGUGAAUCCCAGGAGAAGUGAAUGGGUACACAUUUGGGAUUUGAUUGCCUACGAUGACGGACAGAUG